Molecule: long non-coding RNA, 561 nt
Filed under: Vombatus ursinus (common wombat)
Lineage: Eukaryota; Metazoa; Chordata; Mammalia; Diprotodontia; Vombatidae
Description: lncRNA (ENSVURG00010018068.1)
Source: RNAcentral
GCGGCGGCGACAGCGGCGGCAGCCGAGGGGUAUGCCGGGAGGAAGCAAUCCCGUUUUGUCUCGCGAGAUCUCCUCGGGUCGGAUUCUUCUGCGUGGAGUCGUUCCCGGUGGUUCGUGAAGAGAAGCCUGCUUGCCUCGGGUUCCUGAUUCGGCGGCGGGGAGCUCAAGCGCAUUGUUAGCUCCGGGCCCCGGAAAUGCGUUACGGGGCCACUGACGUGUCAAGCACUGAAGGACAUUUCAGGCAAAGAGAGGGAAGUUUAUCAAGAUUAUUUAACAAAAACUCAACUGUUUAUAAUAGGAAAUGCAAGAAAAUGUGAAGAAAUGAAAACUUUUUAGCUACUGUUAUUAAACUCACCUUCCACAAUUCUCCUUCCCCAGAAACGUCUUGAAAUGUGAAAGCUAUGGUUCAAGAUUUGUUGAAGAGUCUACCGGUGUUGAGACAAUCUCUCUUGAACAGUCAGCACCCUGUUCCCCAUGGACAGCAGCCACUUCAGCUACUGAAAGUUAUACCUCGUGCUGUCUCUGGGAAUGUUCCCUUUGCUGUCCCUCACAAGAUUAUGG